RNAcentral lists this ribosomal RNA (266 nucleotides) under uncultured Atopobium sp. RNAcentral describes it as "partial 16S ribosomal RNA". It matches the Rfam family "Bacterial small subunit ribosomal RNA", at positions 90 to 354 of the family's 1533-position model. The record is from RNAcentral. Lineage: Bacteria; Bacillati; Actinomycetota; Coriobacteriia; Coriobacteriales; Atopobiaceae.
AUAAAGUGGCGAACGGCUGAGUAACACGUGGGCAACCUGCCCUUUGCACUGGGAUAGCCUCGGGAAACCGAGGUUAAUACCGGAUACUCCAUAUUUGUCGCAUGGUGAAUAUGGGAAAGCUCCGGCGGCAAAGGAUGGGCCCGCGGCCUGUUAGCUAGUUGGUGGGGUAGUGGCCUACCAAGGCAAUGAUGGGUAGCCGGGUUGAGAGACCGACCGGCCAGAUUGGGACUGAGACACGGCCCAGACUCCUACGGGAGGCAGCAGGU